Molecule: long non-coding RNA, 3023 nt
Filed under: Hordeum vulgare
Lineage: Eukaryota; Viridiplantae; Streptophyta; Magnoliopsida; Poales; Poaceae
Description: long non-coding RNA (HVUL_LNC014333)
Source: RNAcentral
GAUGAAUGACUUUUAAGAAUGUGUCUUUUUAUAUAUGAAUCAUUAUUGUUUGUUAUGUUUUGAGGUAUGUGUAUAUGCAUGUGAUACGUAACUAAUGUGUAGAUACACCGGUUAAUACACUGACAAUGCAUCUAUAUGCGUUAAUGGGUGUAGAUCGGAACAGGAUCCUUUAGGCAAAUAUUUACCGCUUAUAAUAUCCGUGUAUUUAUACAGCUAUCAAUAUCUUGCUUAUCAGUUGUCACUUUUUGGAGUAUCAAAGUGAGGUUAGCUCGGUGUAAUGUGCAUGUCCUAAGACAAAAUGGGGUGGAGAGGGGGGGCACGUGACACAACGGAAAGUGCAUCAUUCUUCUUCCCCAUUGGAUGAGCGGGGAACCUCCCCCAAAACUGAAACACCACUACAUCCCUCCCUUCGUUUCACAUGUAUUUUGUAUCAAGUCAAACGAGUGUUAAAUUAACAGAUGGGAAUUAGUUUGUCGCCAUUUUUAUCCAUGGUGAUUAGGGCAUCUUCAGAUAGAUCAAAUAACUAAUCGCAUAUCAAGUUGGGGAUACAAUGGAGCGGGGAUAAGGAAAGUCACGUGAGAAAUAAUGCUUAUGCCGGAGUACAACUAGAGCACUACAGACUGCAGUGAAUGGGGUAGAUGAAAUGGGGACGUCCAACAGAUCAUAAUUAUGCAGGACUCAAAUGAUGCACAAGGUACAUCUAUAUGACUUGUAGAAGACCGGUACAUAAAUUAAUAUCGUACAUUACUCACCGGAGGAACGUGAGUUUAAGAGCAACUCCAAUUCCUAAAUCUGCGCCUUUAAAGUGGGUGUAACAUGAGAAGGAGAAGCGGAUGAAUGAUUAUCAAGUGUACGUCGUCCCAUACCUAAACCAUUGGCAUUGCUUUGUUUUGGAAUACGAUCAUUUAAUACUUUUACAGAUUUUUGCAUGUGAUAUAUAAUAAGUGCAAAGAUAUGUUGGUUGAUACCCUCACAAAUUAAUGAGUACAGACUGGAACAAAAUACUUCAGUAGAUAUUUAUUUCCCAUAUCAUGUCUUCGUAUUGAAUUCACCCUGCAUAUGAGUUUACAUACCAAAGCAUGGAUCCAUAUCGAAGGGGAGUGAGACAACUAUAAAGCGCAAUAUUGUUCUUCCCCACUGGAUGAGCAAGGAGCCUCCCCUAAUAACUCAAUCCCCAUUGCAUCCCUCCAUCCAUUGUUAGAGCACUUCGUAAUCCAGUUAAACAAGUGAUAAAUUCGCACGGGGGGAGUUGAUCUACUUGUGUUUAUUCAUGGUGAUUAUCGCUUUUUCGAGUGGUCUAACAACUACUUGUAGGUCAAGUUGGGAAUAAAGUUGUGUGCAGAAUAAGGAAAAUGAAUGAAGAAGAAUGGUUAUGGAGGAGGCUUGCUAUAGCACUACGCUCAAUGCGGUAGGUGGGCACUUGUAGUGCAUGAAGUAGAUGGGAAGUUCCAUUGGGACUUAAUGGUAUCGAGGAGACCAAUCUUCUGUGGGCCCUGAAUGGUUUAGAAUGCACAUCAAAUCUAUUCAUAAGUGUGACUCGUAUCUAAUCAAUACAUAAGAUUAAUACCACAUAUUACUUGUUGGGAGGAACGUGAGUUUGGGAACAACUCUACCGGAUUCCUGAUGUUGAGAUUUUUUUAAUGGGCCUAGAGUAAAAAGCAGAAGAAUGGUUCCGGAAGGCAACACCUAUCUGUAUCUAAACCAUUUAUACUGUUUUUGUUAUGGGGUAUACGCAUUCGAUACUUUUGAUGAAGACUUACAUUUGUGAUACAUAAGAAAUGUAAAGAAUACACCGGUUGAUACUCUCGCAACGCAUCUUUAAAAGUUAAUGAAUGCAUAUUGGAACGGGAUCCUUCAUGUAAAUAUUACUUCAUAUAUCAAUGCAAUCGUGCUGAAAUCAAUACUCCGUGCAUGUUCCCAUACCAAAGUGAGGUUAUCUCGGCAUGUGUGUCCAUAUCACAGUGAAAGGGGAAGCCACAUGACACAAUGAAAACCACAUGGUUCUUCUUAUCCACUCGACGAGCAAGGAGCCUCCCCUAAAACUCGAUCUCCACUACACCCCGCCCUCCAUUUAUCAUGUUUUUUGAAUCCAUUCGAGCAAGUGUUAAAAUAGCACAGGGGAAUCAAUUUGUAGUUGUUUUAUUUGUGAUGAAUAGUACAUAUUUGAAUGAAUCGAACAACUGCUCACAAAUCAAGUUGGGGAUAGAGCCAUGCGAAGGAGACGAAAAGUGAGACGAUGAAGACCGAUUAUGGCAAAGGACGGCUAGAUCGCUAUAGUGAAUGUGGUAGAUUAGCGUUUGCAGUGGAUGAGGUAGAUGGGGAGGGCAAUUGAUACUUUGAGAUGUCAAGUAGAAUGGAACUACAUGCGCCCCAAAUGGUUUAGAAGGUACAUCAAUACGACUUGCAGCGACCCAAUACAAAAUUAAUGUCACAGAUCACUCGCAAGAGGAAUGUGAGUUUGAGAGCAACUCAAGCAGAUUCCUAAAUUUUGAGCCUUUGUAACGGGUGCAGAGUAAGAUGAUCCCCAUAUAUAAACUAUAUACUGCUAUAUUUUGGGAUAUAGGCGUUUAAUAUUUUUAGAGAUUUUUUUCCUUAAUACAUAAUAAAUAUAAAUAACUUUUGACUGUUUUGGCAACGCGUCUCUGAAGGUCAAUGAGUACAAACUGAAAUAGAAUACUUUGAACAUACGUUUAUUCGCAUGUGAGUUUCCGUAUGAAAUGAUGUUAGCUUGGUACUUUAAGUGUGAUGUAAAAAAAAGCCUCCUCAUCCUAAAUGCUAAUAUCUGACGAGCAUUUCUAGAGUGCACUUUUUUAAGUAAAUGUCAGGUGCCUUUGAGGUAGUCUGCUAGAGUCCAUUUUUUGCCCUCCCAACGUUUAACAUGGCAAAAAAUUUGGCAGUUUUAGAAAAUCUGCUAGAGUUGCUUUGAGAGGUACUGAGAUGUCAUAUGGCAAAUUCACACCCUCGCGUCUAGCUGCGAGCAUUGUCGAAUGUUCCCCGCGCGCUUGGGACCGUAUAGUUGUCGG